AAAAUUUAAAAUUAAAAUACUAAAAUAUUAAAUAAUUAUUUAUUAAAACUUAAAUAAUAUGGCGGUAUUUUAGUUCAUUUAGAGGAAUCUGUUUAAUAAUUGAUAUUCCACGAAUAAAUUUACUUAAUUUUAUAAUUUUGUAUAUCAUUGUUAUAAAAAUAUUUUUUAAUAAAAUUAAUAUUUAAAAAUUAUAAAAAAAAAUUAAAUCAAAUCAAGAUGCAGAUUAUAAUUAAGAAUAUAAUGGAUUACAAUAAAAUUAUUUAAAUGAAUAUUAAUUUGUAAAAAUUAAUUAAAAGUGGAUUUAAAUGUAAUUUUAUUUAAUUUAAUAAUAUGAUUAAAAAUUAAAAUAUGU
Molecule: ribosomal RNA, 352 nt
Filed under: Acrapex ngwenya
Lineage: Eukaryota; Metazoa; Arthropoda; Insecta; Lepidoptera; Noctuidae
Description: partial 12S small subunit ribosomal RNA
Source: RNAcentral